UACGAAGGGGGCUAGCGUUGCUCGGAAUCACUGGGCGUAAAGGGCGCGUAGGCGGGUCGUUAAGUUAGAGGUGAAAGCCCAGGGCUCAACCCUGGAAUUGCCUUUAAUACUGUCGACCUUGAGUAUGGCAGAGGUGUGUGGAACUCCGAGUGUAGAGGUGAAAUUCGUAGAUAUUCGGAAGAACACCAGUGGCGAAGGCGACACACUGGGCCAUUACUGACGCUGAGGCGCGAAAGCGUGGGGAGCAAACAGG
This 253-nucleotide ribosomal RNA is filed under the name uncultured bacterium. RNAcentral's name for it is "partial 16S ribosomal RNA". It matches the Rfam family "Bacterial small subunit ribosomal RNA", at positions 524 to 776 of the family's 1533-position model. The record is from RNAcentral.